RNAcentral lists this long non-coding RNA (248 nucleotides) under Capsicum annuum. RNAcentral describes it as "long non-coding RNA (CANN_LNC010099)". The record is from RNAcentral. Lineage: Eukaryota; Viridiplantae; Streptophyta; Magnoliopsida; Solanales; Solanaceae.
GGGAGUGACAUUCUAGGGGAAGAAAGGGAUAGCAUCGGCUUAGGCCCUUGGCUAAUUUUUCCAUUUGAUCCCGGCACCCUCUUGGAAUGUGGAAAUCUCUACACUCCCCACUUAAUGCUUGGUCAAGACGACAAGCAAUGUUUGGUUGUGGGUGCUAAUGAAGGAAGACAAGGUUCUUCGUUAUCUCUUUUUGUUAAUGGUGACCACUUCCUUUGUGCCAUUUGUACUAAGUUUUUUAAGUCCAACAC